This 608-nucleotide ribosomal RNA is filed under the name Peribacillus frigoritolerans. RNAcentral describes it as "bacterial SSU rRNA". It matches the Rfam family "Bacterial small subunit ribosomal RNA", at positions 91 to 685 of the family's 1533-position model. The record is from RNAcentral. Lineage: Bacteria; Bacillati; Bacillota; Bacilli; Caryophanales; Bacillaceae.
AUUAGCGGCGGACGGGUGAGUAACACGUGGGCAACCUGCCUAUAAGACUGGGAUAACUUCGGGAAACCGGAGCUAAUACCGGAUACGUUCUUUUCUCGCAUGAGAGAAGAUGGAAAGACGGUUUACGCUGUCACUUAUAGAUGGGCCCGCGGCGCAUUAGCUAGUUGGUGAGGUAAUGGCUCACCAAGGCGACGAUGCGUAGCCGACCUGAGAGGGUGAUCGGCCACACUGGGACUGAGACACGGCCCAGACUCCUACGGGAGGCAGCAGUAGGGAAUCUUCCGCAAUGGACGAAAGUCUGACGGAGCAACGCCGCGUGAACGAAGAAGGCCUUCGGGUCGUAAAGUUCUGUUGUUAGGGAAGAACAAGUACCAGAGUAACUGCUGGUACCUUGACGGUACCUAACCAGAAAGCCACGGCUAACUACGUGCCAGCAGCCGCGGUAAUACGUAGGUGGCAAGCGUUGUCCGGAAUUAUUGGGCGUAAAGCGCGCGCAGGUGGUUCCUUAAGUCUGAUGUGAAAGCCCACGGCUCAACCGUGGAGGGUCAUUGGAAACUGGGGAACUUGAGUGCAGAAGAGGAAAGUGGAAUUCCAAGUGUAGCGGUGAA